AUACGGAGGGUGCAAGCGUUAAUCGGAAUUACCGGGCGUAAAGCGUACGUAGGCGGUUUAUUAAGUCAGAUGUGAAAGCCCCGGGCUUAACCUGGGAACUGCAUUUGAAACUAGUAGACUAGAGUAUGGUAGAGGGGGGUAGAAUUCCUAGUGUAGCGGUGAAAUGCGUAGAUAUUAGGAGGAAUACCAGUGGCGAAGGCGGCCCCCUGGACCAAUACUGACGCUGAGGUACGAAAGCGUGGGGAGCGAACAGGAUUAGAAACCCCAGUAGUCC
RNAcentral lists this ribosomal RNA (274 nucleotides) under uncultured bacterium. RNAcentral describes it as "partial 16S ribosomal RNA". It matches the Rfam family "Bacterial small subunit ribosomal RNA", at positions 523 to 796 of the family's 1533-position model. The record is from RNAcentral.